This 490-nucleotide unclassified non-coding RNA is filed under the name Hevea brasiliensis (rubber tree). The record is from RNAcentral. Lineage: Eukaryota; Viridiplantae; Streptophyta; Magnoliopsida; Malpighiales; Euphorbiaceae.
GCGACGCAUGAUGCGAAUCACAUUGGCUAUUGGCAUGUACUGGUCUUGUUCACGGACCAUGCACUGCACUGGUUGUUGGAGCUCGUUGGCUUCUGCCGCAGUUGAUGAGUUGCCUUCGUUGGGCUUGCUACGGAUGAGAGUGCUGGGGAGGCUUGGAGGAUUGGUGUUUGAGUGCGCUAAACCCAUGCCUGAACCUGGAAUCAAAAGGUCGUGUUAGUCGUUAAAGAGAAGCAGGUUUGCAGUUUAUCUCUUUUGUCCGUUAUUAAUGCCACCUCUGCAGAAGACAACAAAAACAAAGUAGCUGACCAAAAAGGAAAAGACUUUUUUUUUCUUUUGAAAAAAAGGAAUAAAUGCCAACUCAGAAACUUGCAUGGCCAUGUGCCUUCAUAUAGGGAGAAGUAGGACCAAUGGGUCCCACAUACAUCGACCAGAAGCAGAAUCUAUGUAGGGCACACACCUAACCCAAGAGUAGAGCCAAAUUCAUGUUCAG